This 20-nucleotide ribosomal RNA is filed under the name Oreina speciosa. RNAcentral's name for it is "partial 5.8S ribosomal RNA". The record is from RNAcentral. Lineage: Eukaryota; Metazoa; Arthropoda; Insecta; Coleoptera; Chrysomelidae.
UUGCGGUCCUGGGAUACUGU